This 331-nucleotide long non-coding RNA is filed under the name Lepisosteus oculatus (spotted gar). Its description in RNAcentral is "lncRNA (ENSLOCG00000023043.1)". The record is from RNAcentral. Lineage: Eukaryota; Metazoa; Chordata; Actinopteri; Semionotiformes; Lepisosteidae.
GAUACACAGAUGCAUUAAUCUUUUAUCUUAACACUUUGGCCAGAAAACUGCAAUGUUUAGCAGCACCAUCAGUGACCUGAAGCAUUCUAGCAUGCCUGUGAUGCAUCUGACAUCUGCAAGUUGCUGCUUGUAUACUUCAAGAAAAUCUUUGAUUCAGGAAAAGAAUAAACCUAUUACUUGAUUCUUAUGGAAGCCCGGCUCCUCCAGGGAUAAAAAAAAACAUGGAAUCGCGUAUCUAAAGAAGUAACGACAUGUCUUGCGUUGUACAGCUUUUCAGCUAAAUAUAUUUAUCACGACAGCCGGCUGGAUGUGCCAAAAAAUAAAUAAAAAC